RNAcentral lists this ribosomal RNA (572 nucleotides) under uncultured Glomeromycotina. RNAcentral describes it as "SSU rRNA". It matches the Rfam family "Eukaryotic small subunit ribosomal RNA", at positions 548 to 1114 of the family's 1831-position model. Lineage: Eukaryota; Fungi; Glomeromycota. The record is from RNAcentral.
UUGGAGGGCAAGUCUGGUGCCAGCAGCCGCGGUAAUUCCAGCUCCAAUAGCGUAUAUUAAAGUUGUUGCAGUUAAAAAGCUCGUAGUCGAAUUUCGGGAUUGACGUGAUGGUCAUGCCUUAAGGGGUAUGAACUGUUGCAGUUGAUUUCUCACCUUCUGGAGAAACUUGAUGUCCUUUAUUGGGUGUCUUGCGGAUCCAGGACCUUUACCUUGAAAAAAUUAGAGUGUUUAAAGCAGGCAUUUUUGCUCGAAUACAUUAGCAUGGAAUAAUAGAAUAGGACGGCAUGGUUCUAUUUUGUUGGUCUCUAGGGUCACCGUAAUGAUUAAUAGGGAUAGUUGGGGGCAUUAGUAUUCAAUUGUCAGAGGUGAAAUUCCUGGAUUUAUUGAAGACUAACUACUGCGAAAGCAUUUGCCAAGGAUGUUUUCACUAAUCAAGAACGAGAGUUAGGGGAUCGAAGACGAUCAGAUACCGUCGUAGUCUUAACCAUAAACUAUGCCGACUAGGAAUCAGACGAUGUUAAUUUUUUAAUGACUCGUUUGGCACCUUACGGGAAACCAAAGUGUUUGGGUUC